GAAUUUAAUAUAAUAGUUAAAUUUGUUUGAGGAAAUAAGUUUAAUUUUAAUAAUUAUAUUUUAUUGGGAGGAUAAUUAAAUAAGAUAAACUUUAAUUUUAAGAUAAUUUUAACAUUAAUUAAUGAAAUUUGUGUAAGGAUUAAUUAUUGAUAGAUAAAGAUUUUUUUUUAAAAAAAUAAUUAUUAUAAGAAUUAAUUACCUUAGGGAUAACAGCGUAAUAUUUUUAGAAAGAUCAUAUUAAUAAAAAUGAUUGC
Molecule: ribosomal RNA, 254 nt
Filed under: Nylanderia guatemalensis
Lineage: Eukaryota; Metazoa; Arthropoda; Insecta; Hymenoptera; Formicidae
Description: partial large subunit ribosomal RNA
Source: RNAcentral